This is a non-coding RNA of Taeniopygia guttata (zebra finch), 2852 nucleotides long. The record is from RefSeq and is a predicted model, not a curated record. Lineage: Eukaryota; Metazoa; Chordata; Aves; Passeriformes; Estrildidae.
CUCCCAAGAACAUUUGCAGCCACUGGGUGGAGAACUUGUCUAACAAAAUAUCUCAUUAUGACAGAGUGAAAAUCAAUCCAACUUUACUUUGCUGGCUGGGCAAAUUUGUCUAAUACAGGUCAUAUAUUAGGCUCUUCUUUUUCAGUGGUCAACGUGGUUCAAUUUCCAGCUAGGACAUAAUUUGCACAAUAACCUGAAGUUGAAAUUAAUACUCAGAAACAAGCUGUACUGGGCUGAAGAAAAAUCCAUUAAGCUGUCUGCAUUAGAGGAAGAAGCUGACCAAUGGAGUUAAAGCACAUUUGUUAUACUGUAAGAAGAAAGUUUCAGACAAAUAUCACAGGAACCAGGAUGACACUCCAAUAAGUGUUUUUGUUGAGGAGCACAAACUCCACCAGCCUGGGAAUGACUAUGUCCUACAGAAAAGCAGACUUACACGCUUUGGAGUACAGGUAUCAACAUCAGGUAUAAUCCCCUGAAGAUGGAGGUGGGUUUCUCCUGUGGUUGAAGCGCUAACCCAGGACUCAGAAGAGAAGGGUUCAAUGUCCUGCUGUGUUACAGGUUUCUGGAGCAGGCAGUGUGAUAUUUCAUUUCACCAUCUCUGACAGAGACAUAAUUUCAUCUGUAUUCUAAGGAUUUUGUUCAGUUCAAGAAAAAAUAUUUCCUUGUAAAACAUCCAGUAAAUACUUAAAAGCAUAAAACGUUCCUGCUUACUGAAGGGAGGCAACAAAGACGUUACUCAAAGGAGAACUGAAACCAGAAAUAAUAACAUAUCAUGAGGAAAAUUCCUGCCACUGAAGUUCAAGAUAAAAUAGUCACCUUCAAAAGACAAUUAAGAACUUCGGGGGACUGAAAUCACCUUCAAGGGACACUCUGGGACAGUCAGUUUUUAAAUCUGGCCAUCUCAAUUAGAUAACCUCUUACCUCCGAAAGAAUGAAAGAGACAGAAGCAUCACAUGUGCAUUACAGAAAAUGGCUUCAGCCUACUAAUCGAACAAAGCUGGAAGACCUGUGGGACAGUAAGACUCAGCUCCAUCCUUCAUUCAUUCUCUAGCGGGCCAAGCAGUGUUUGUGGGGUUUUCUGGUUAACUCCUGACUUCUCAACACAGCAGAAUUCAACAAGGGUUACAGAAAGAUUUGGUUUCAUCAAAAUAAGGGAACUUUUUACAUUUUUUGUUCAGUGUCUCAUGAGGUCUGAAAAGGCAACAAAGAACAGUUGAAUUUGUUUCAUGUCUUUUCCAACGAGCAGUGCCUGGGAAGGACAUCACUUCUGAAGCAGAGCUGUAAGCAUCAUUGCUCCUGCCUUGAAUAGUAGAGUGGUUUAUCUUUGUUUUUGAGGUUCUGAAGUUUCCAUAGUCCAGAAGGCUUUGGGUGUAAUUUCAGUCCACUGGACAUAAUUUCUAUGCAGCUGUAAUCACAGUUCUGGAAAGCUCUGGGACCCAUCAGAGUGGGAUUUUUCUUCCAUUCCCAGUCGUUUUUCCAAAUGAGAAGAUUUUUGUUUACCUGCUGGUGGUGGAAUGAAAGAUUCAAAACAGCAGUUGUUUUUGUUUUGGAUUUACAAUCCAUCUCUAAAAUAUUAAGAUGGGAAAAGGUAGUUAUAGUAGUGGUAACAAUAACAAUAGCAACAAUAGCAACAAUAGUAACAACAACAACAACAACAACAACAACAACAACAAUAAUAAUAAUAAUAAUAGCAAUAACAAAUAAUGAAACUAAGCCAGUGAGUUUUGCUUGAAUUGAGAGGAAAAGGACAGCAGCUGUCACUGCUGUUAAGAAUAAUUUAUAUAUUGUCUAUUGUCUGAUUUCUCCUUUUGGGGUUAUAAGUGUUGACAAGUUAACAUCAGGGCAAAGGUACAUUGGGCUGUCAAGUUUCUAUUUUCUGCUUCUUGCUCUUCCACAAAGUGCUACGGAGAUUGAUUGAUAAGAUUUUAAAGAGUUUAGUUGCAUCACAAUGACACAGUCUUCAAUAUGAAUUAAAAUAAUAAAAUUGUUUGUUUAACUUGUUUUUGUGUUGACAGGAUCUUUGCACUCCAGGCAAUCACUUUGUUUUCCUUACAGCUUUGUUCUUUAGUCACCCAAAUGUGGAAUGUCACUCAACCUUGUCAUAUUUUUUUCUUGAUGUUCCUUAUUAGUCUCUGCCAUUCUUUUCAGGAAUCUAACAAAUGUGGAUACCCUUUGUCAGUCAGUUGUUCUGGUUUUUGCCAUUUUAAGCUUCUUCUCCCAAUAACACGUUAACAGAUUUUCUUAGUGGACAUGAGCUUUACUUCAUAAGAUACCAGUUAAGUCUUUGAGUAAUCACUAGUGUGAUCAUCUAAUUAAAUUUCUGUAGAUGUCCCAAAUGAAAAUUACAUAUUUGAACCCACAGUUUAUAGUCACCCACAGUUUCAUUUUAACACAGCUCUAAAUUUUUUGAGGGAAUUUGGAAGUGAUAAUACAAUUAAGGGUCUUGCUGAGCUUCAGCUCUUUCUGAAAAUGAGAUCUAAAUGUUUUCAGAAUAACAUUUAGAUAAUCAUCCAAAAUUCUGAGCAUCUUUCACACACGGAACUGUCCCACUGAACCUUUCCAGUCUCAUCUCUUGCACAUACAUUUUUGAUCUCUGUUUUACUACAUCUUUUAUACUCACUUUAGUAUGGCAUUCAAAUUCAUAUUGCAUCGGCUGUAAUUUUAAUAUAUAGAGAGAGCUGAGAUGAAAUAUCAAAAGGAACACAAAAAAGGAUAUAAUCUGGAACUGAAGACAUCAUAAACCAACAUAAUUUCAGGCAAAUUAUGUAUGAUACAGGAAGACUCAGUCAUGACGUGAUGACCUAGAUUAAAUUUCUGAAAAUAGUCAGGAAAAAGUUGUAUCAGAGCAAAAA